RNAcentral lists this transfer RNA (91 nucleotides) under Xylariaceae sp. FL0594. RNAcentral describes it as "tRNA-Pro". It matches the Rfam family "tRNA". From Rfam's summary of the family: Transfer RNA (tRNA) molecules are approximately 80 nucleotides in length. Their secondary structure includes four short double-helical elements and three loops (D, anti-codon, and T loops). The record is from RNAcentral. Lineage: Eukaryota; Fungi; Ascomycota; Sordariomycetes; Xylariales; Xylariaceae.
GGUUUGGUGGUCUAGUGGUAUGAUUCUCGCUUAGGGCUCACCCUAAAGCAGUGCUUGCGAGAGGUCCCGGGUUCAAUCCCCGGCCAAACCC